AUUGUAGUUGGUGGCUCCAGAGAAUGCUCCACUUAAAGAGGUGGAGGAGGAAUAUAUUUUCCUAGAGGAGAAGAAAAAUCAUGUAGAUGCUUUAUUGAACAAGGUGGCUAACUUGCUGAAAUUCCCUAACAACCCAAAACUGGAGAACAUGUUGCCACCUCUACAUAUAACGUCCAAACAGACGAAGACUGAGAAGAUGAAGAAAGAUCGUCAACUGUACCUGGCCCAACAAUCUGCUCGCGAAAAGAAACAGCCGUCCAUUACUGUAACUUCAUAAGGAAUUUAUUACAUAGGAAUAUUUACAUUUUAUAUUUACAUAUACAUAUAUUUUGACAUAUAAUUUGACACAAAUGAUUGUUGAUUGUAAAUAAUUCAAUUCUUGUUAAUUUGUUGCGACCUGUUCAUUGUUAUGGAACAAUAAAAUAGUUGAUUUUG
Molecule: long non-coding RNA, 435 nt
Organism: Ruditapes philippinarum (Manila clam)
Lineage: Eukaryota; Metazoa; Mollusca; Bivalvia; Venerida; Veneridae
Exons: 2
Source: RefSeq, a predicted model, not a curated record